This 253-nucleotide ribosomal RNA is filed under the name uncultured bacterium. RNAcentral describes it as "partial 16S ribosomal RNA". It matches the Rfam family "Bacterial small subunit ribosomal RNA", at positions 524 to 776 of the family's 1533-position model. The record is from RNAcentral.
UACAGAGGGUGCGAGCGUUAAUCGGAAUUACUGGGCGUAAAGCGUGCGUAGACGGUUGCAUAAGUCGGAUGUGAAAUCCCCGGGCUCAACCUGGGAAUGGCAUUUGGGACUGCAAGGCUGGAGUGCGGCAGAGGAGACUGGAAUUCCUGGUGUAGCAGUGAAAUGCGUAGAUAUCAGGAGGAACACCGAUGGCGAAGGCAGGUCUCUGGGCUGACACUGACGCUCAUGCACGAAAGCGUGGGGAGCAAACAGG